GAAAAGAGGGAGGAAAAGUGACUGGAAAUCGUGGCAGCAGCACCCCAGGACAUGUAAAGGUCUCUGCCUGCCUCCAAGUCCACCCUACCGGCUGCUGCUGCUGGAGGAGUCCUUGGGGGCUGCCCCAGUGCUGUUAAGUGAGUAAUAGAAAGGAAAGUGUGUGAAGAGGGCACCUCUCCUGCCUGGAUUGCGAAGGGAAAGGCUGUGGGUUGUGUGCACUUACCUCUCUGUGUGUCUGUGUGUGUGUAUGUUUCAGUGGCCAGUCAGUGUUUCUCUAUGUGAAAGUGAAGAGAAGAGCACUCAGCAGAGCCUCGGUUUUCACCGUACACUGCUCCACAUACAGUACAUGCAACCCGGAGAGACUGAAAACAUUCAUUUUUAUAUAAGGCAGCCUGCGAUUGGCUCAGGGACUGAGGGACAGGUUUGCCAGCCAUACAGCUGGCCUGUUACACCCAAAGAGCGAGAGACUCGCACGCACACACACACUCAUAUGCACACACUCACACACAAAGAUCAUCUCGUUUCUUUUACUAAUGUUUCAGGACCUGUAGACAGCCUAGCAGGGCAGGUAGAAGGACCAGCAAACUCAGACCUUCACAAACAAAACAACAGUAUGACACCAGCAACUUUUGGUGUAACUGCAUCACUGUUGCAAUUGAGCCUCGAAAAACCUGCUGACACGUCUUACAACUAUGAAAAGCUCCUUUUUCUGUUUAAAUUAAACAAAAUAAUUGUAAGGAAAACAUUCUCUGUAACCUGAUUCACCGUAUUAUUGUUCAUUAUGU
Chrysemys picta bellii (western painted turtle) is the source of this 785-nucleotide long non-coding RNA. The record is from Ensembl. NCBI's taxonomy places the organism in Eukaryota, Metazoa, Chordata, Testudines, Emydidae.